CUUCAAUAUGCUGAAUCUAAUCAUGUACUUAGAUUUUGGAUUUUGGACCAUAAUAGGUAAAUGUCCAAUUUAAAAUUUUUAAGUUUUUAAGUUUAAGUUCUUAGACCACAUUCAUUCUGUGUCAAAAACCUUUGUUGUGUCAACUAUUUAAUCACAAUCUAAAUUCAGAGCUGUAUCAAGCUUAAAUGUUGUGUUCAUACUUACCCCAACUGUUCAGGGUUCGACCUCUGUGGUCGUAUAAAGCUGCGACCUGCGG
This 256-nucleotide long non-coding RNA is filed under the name Mytilus galloprovincialis (Mediterranean mussel). Lineage: Eukaryota; Metazoa; Mollusca; Bivalvia; Mytilida; Mytilidae. The record is from RNAcentral.